GGGGAUAUAGCUCAGUUGGCUAGAGCGGUUGCUCCGCAAGUAACAGGCCGGGAGUUCGAUUCUCCCUAUCUCCA
Molecule: transfer RNA, 74 nt
Filed under: Spirochaetota bacterium
Lineage: Bacteria; Pseudomonadati; Spirochaetota
Description: Spirochaetes bacterium (wastewater metagenome) tRNA-Ala
Rfam family: tRNA
About the family: Transfer RNA (tRNA) molecules are approximately 80 nucleotides in length. Their secondary structure includes four short double-helical elements and three loops (D, anti-codon, and T loops).
Source: RNAcentral